Molecule: non-coding RNA, 603 nt
Organism: Cinara cedri
Lineage: Eukaryota; Metazoa; Arthropoda; Insecta; Hemiptera; Aphididae
Source: the annotation of a GenBank genome assembly
UAUAUAAUGAUAUGAUAUAGUAACUUAAAAUUCUCCCAUUUUAUUGGCCUAGUCUAAUCAAAAUGUCCAGUUCUGCCUAAACAUGUCGUACUUAAAAACCCCACAGGCGUGACUCUACAAAUUUAAAUCAAACUUUUUGGUUAUUUAUUUUAAUUAAUUUCUGUUUACUUAUUAUUACAAUUAACAAUGCUGUAAAAAAUGGUAGUAUAGGGUUAUUAAAUUUAUAUAGGUACAUUACGAUAAAUCAUUUAUAACUACAAACACAUAUCAAUGUGAUAAAUUCAAAUUAUUCAUUAAAUAAUGGUCACAGGUAUGGACGGAAUAUAUAUUUCUCCAUUCAAAAGUGAAGCCGUGUUGUUUAGACCCUUUUGCCAUGUCACUAUUGAUAUGAGCAAAGUUUGGUUAAACAUGUUAUGAACUUUAAUUGAAAAUUGUAUUAUUUGUAACUACUAAAUAAAUUAAAAUUAUCAGUGUUUUUCAGUAUUUUUAUGGAGCCAAAAGUUUUAUACACAUAAAUCAAAAAAUUAAUUUGCAAAAAUUCCUUGAUGUUAUCCAAAUAAAACCAACACAAAACUAAAAAAUUGCGCUAUGCUAACUUAUAUC